AGCUUUGCUAAUAUGGUUGCUGUAUCUCCCUGGGUCGGUUCCACCUCCUCCCCACUGCGCGGCGGGGUCCGGGAAGGAGUGCGGCCUUCCCCGUGCCAUUUUGUGCCUCUGCAGGGGCCCCCCUUACUUCCCAGCAUCAGGUCGAGGACCGAGGCUGCAGACUCCGUACCUUUUUUGGAGCUCUUCUUGGGGUUUCGUUUCUCCAUCCUAGGAGGGUGUUCAGCUUCCGAAAAAGUGCUGUAAGAAGCUAUUUAACAGCGUCGUCGGAGCAGAGCUUCACCCCGCCACGUCUAGCCCGCUCCGAGGUUAGGCCACGCCCCCCAGUACUCCUACCUUUGAUGCUCGCAUUCAAGACUUCUCCAGGGCUGCACCUUUUCUGUGGAACUCCCUUCCCUUCUCCGUUAGACUUUCACCCAGUCUCCAUUUCUUUAAAAAAAAAAUCAUUGAAAACUCACGUCUUCAGGAAAGCUCAUCAAUUAAACUGUUAACAGCUUUUCAUCCCUGUACCCUGAUUCCUCUCCUGCAACUGUCAAAAAUAUCCUAGUAAGUCAUUAGUGGAUACGUUUCUAGCAAUCUUCUUUGAUUCCCCUACCUUUACUUUUUGUGUCACUGUACCCUACCCCACACAAUCUAGCAUGUAAGCUCAGUGAGCAGGGCCCUCAACCUCUCUGUUCCUGUGCGUCCAACUUAUCUGGUUACAAUUACGUCUGUUAGUCUACCCCUUGUACAGCUCUACGGAACUUGCUGGUGCUAUACAUAAAUGAUAAAAUAUUAAUAAUACAUUUAAAAGAAUUAUAUAAAUUUAGCCUGGAG
Molecule: non-coding RNA, 813 nt
Organism: Pelobates cultripes (western spadefoot toad)
Lineage: Eukaryota; Metazoa; Chordata; Amphibia; Anura; Pelobatidae
Source: the annotation of a GenBank genome assembly